This is a long non-coding RNA of Hibiscus syriacus, 720 nucleotides long. RefSeq lists it as uncharacterized. The record is from RefSeq and is a predicted model, not a curated record. The transcript is spliced from 2 exons. Lineage: Eukaryota; Viridiplantae; Streptophyta; Magnoliopsida; Malvales; Malvaceae.
CAACCCGUUUUAAUAUCCCAAAAACCAAUCCUCCAUUUCAGAUUUGAAAACCGAACUCCCAAAUUAAACCACCAAAUCCUUAAACUUACCUGUCAGCCCUUUCACCAAUCCACUAUCGCCCGGUCAUCGUGAUCGUCGUCGCUCUCCGACCAAUAACCCUUUGGUUUUGGAUCGAGUAACUUCGUAGUUCAUUGCGAAUCGACGCCCGAACGUACAAUGAGGAAAACCAUUGGUCGCCGCUGUUUUCAUCAUUUUUUGGUCAAUCCAAUCGGCGUUGCAGCACACCACCACUCCCAUCAGCUUCAUCGGCGACUUGCGAACAAAACUCAGGUGAUCGACGCCCACCAUCGUCGUGCCGUUGUCGUCCAUCAUUAGAGGGAUAGUCAGGCAGCCUCCAUCGAAGGUUUGGCCGCCACACUCGCCGUCAGCGCGGAUGGGGCUUAUCAGCCAGCCCAUAAAGCCUCUAGAACUAGUUUGUUUAGAUCUAACCGAUAUGAACCAACUCGAAUUGAGUCAACCCAUUGACCGUUGACUUUGACCUUAACCAAUAUUAACUUUGAGCAAAAAGUUAUAUUAUUCGACGUCUUUAGUCUGAAUUUGAAGUCUAUUUUGUCAAAUUCAAACCUGAAAACCUUCGAAUGAACCUUUAAACUCGAAUAUGCAUAUGUAUUUAAGUAUUUUAUUUAAGAAUAAUUAAAUUAAAGUCAAUGACUGAUUUAA